Small nucleolar RNA from Oryctolagus cuniculus (rabbit), 134 nucleotides. NCBI's taxonomy places the organism in Eukaryota, Metazoa, Chordata, Mammalia, Lagomorpha, Leporidae. The record is from Ensembl.
GUAUGGGUUUGGAUUUACGGCAGGCCCACUGUCCCGCGCCUCUCAUGGUAUCCCACACCAGAGCGAACUGUGGCCCUGAACCAUUGCCCGGCCUCUGUCCAUGGGGUACUGGCACUCAAGUGGGCUGCACAGUA